Molecule: ribosomal RNA, 164 nt
Filed under: Lacticaseibacillus casei
Lineage: Bacteria; Bacillati; Bacillota; Bacilli; Lactobacillales; Lactobacillaceae
Description: Lactobacillus casei partial 16S ribosomal RNA
Source: RNAcentral
AUGCGAGGGCCGUGUGGGAGAGAUACUACGUGUUACUCACCCGUCCGCCACUCGUUCCAUGUUGAAUCUCAGUGCAAGCACCGAUCAUCAACGAGAACUCGUUCGACUUGCAUGUAUUAGGCACGCCGCCAGCGUUCAUCCUGAGCCAGGAUCAAACUCUAUGC